UUAUAACCAGUUUAAUUUAAAAACUAAAGCAAGAAUGUAAAAGUAAAUUCUAAUCGAAGUUAGUGUUUUAGGUUUGUUACAAUACCUUUAUGUUUUACAGAAAAAAAGAGGAUAGCCCCCCCCUACAGAAGGUGUGUUAUGACUUAUUAUCACUUUACUUUGUAGAUAGCUGCAAUUUGAAGAUGUAGGUUCCAUACAUUCAUUAUCCAGAUUCAUUUUUUUAUUUGUACAUUUUUUUCAGUUUAUUAAGCGCAGGACGGCAGCAGAGGUGGUAUGUAUUUAUUGGUAUUUAUAUAUUGUUCCAGUUUUACUCCCUUUUCACAUUUAGGGAAGAGGAGAGGAGGUGAUCGGGGCUGCGGAGGGAGUCGCGGCGGCCGAGGUUGUGUGAAAACAAUAAUUUUGUAUGACAUUUUUUGUGUUGUAAUAAACUAGAACAGUGUAUUUGAAUGUUAGUUUAAAAAUCAAAUUGUCAGCUGUUCCACCACGCGGCACCCAUGAGGUCGCUUUGUAUGCGUGAUCGUAAGGUUUUCACCGGAGAACCUUCGCAAUGCCAUGGUGUGAAAACAAUGGAGAUGUUAACCAACCUCGGCAAUGCCAUAUUAACCAAUAUGUAAUAUAUUGAGAAUUGGCAGGGUCUCACAAGACACACAGUGUACGUUGCUGUUAUAGCAUAUGCUUGAAAAAUAGGCAUUGGCCCGGGCCAUACACGGAACCGUGUUUGUUGCUGUUAUAGCAUAUGCUUGAAUAAUAAGCAUUGGCCGGGUCAUACACGAAACAUAGUGUAAGUUGCUGUAAGCAUUGUAUCAAAUAAGAUCAAAUGAGGUAAAUAACCUAAAAAGUUGAGCGCAUGGCCAGAGGGAACACAAGGAAUGUAAAUGCAAUUACUGGGGAAUGUCAGGCAUCCGCAACGACUUUAACUUAUAGAAUUUAGAAAGACGCUGUAGUGUUUACACACCGGCCCCAAAAUGACAUGUCCAAGGUAUAAAAGAAACCUCUACCGCUGCACAGCUAACACUGAAAUGAACUAAAAGGACGAGCGCAUGGCCAGACGAAACACAAGGAAUGUAAAUUGCAAUUAACGGGGAAUGUAAAGACGGGUUGGCACUCUGAGGCUUAUUCAAAUAACAACCAAGGUAUAAGAACCUACGACAAGAACUAUCUAACCGUUUUAUUUUCUAACAACCAAGGUAUAAGAACCUACCGCUACACCAGCUAACAUUGAAAUAACCUAAAAAGUUGAGCGCAUGGCCAGAGGGAACACAAGGAAAGUAAAUGCAAUUAAUUACUGGGGAAUGUGAAGACGCGCGCAGGCAUCCGCAACGACUUUAACUUAUAGAAUUUAGAAAGACGCUGUAGUGUUUACACACCGGCCCCAAAAUGACAUGUCCAAGGUAUAAAAGGAACCUCUACCGCUGCACAGCUAACACUGAAAUGAACUAAAAAGACGAGCGCAUGGCCAGACGAAACACAAG
Non-coding RNA from Ciona intestinalis (vase tunicate), 1472 nucleotides. NCBI's taxonomy places the organism in Eukaryota, Metazoa, Chordata, Ascidiacea, Phlebobranchia, Cionidae. The record is from RefSeq and is a predicted model, not a curated record.